AGUGAACGCUGGCGGUAGACCUAACACAUGCAAGUCGAACGGCAGCACAGUAAGAGCUUGCUCUUACGGGUGGCGAGUGGCGGACGGGUGAGGAAUACAUCGGAAUCUACUUUUUCGUGGGGGAUAACGUAGGGAAACUUACGCUAAUACCGCAUACGACCUACGGGUGAAAGCAGGGGAUCUUCGGACCUUGCGCGAUUGAAUGAGCCGAUGUCGGAUUAGCUAGUUGGCGGGUUAAAGGCCCACCAAGGCGACGAUCCGUAGCUGGUCUGAGAGGAUGAUCAGCCACACUGGAACUGAGACACGGUCCAGACUCCUACGGGAGGCAGCAGUGGGGAAUAUUGGACAAUGGGCGCAAGCCUGAUCCAGCCAUACCGCGUGGGUGAAGAAGGCCUUCGGGUUGUAAAGCCCUUUUGUUGGGAAAGAAAAGCAGCAGGUUAAUACCCCGCUGUUCUGACGGUACCCAAAGAAUAAGCACCGGCUAACUUCGUG
This 492-nucleotide ribosomal RNA is filed under the name uncultured bacterium. Its description in RNAcentral is "partial 16S ribosomal RNA". It matches the Rfam family "Bacterial small subunit ribosomal RNA", at positions 29 to 507 of the family's 1533-position model. The record is from RNAcentral.